GCUCACAAACUCACAACAAGGCUCACAGAUAGUUCACUCUAGAUGAUUAUGCUGCUGUACGAUGGUUUAGGGUACUCACACCGUUACUAACACGAGGUCUCUUUUCCCUCUUCUUUCCAGCUCCUGGAUACUUCUCCUGCUGCCACGUGACCUGUCGAAAGUGCCUCCUUCGGCGAUACUUCCGACUAAUGAAAUUGAAGUAUCCAAUGAAGACCCUAGCAGUAUGGAGUAUAUGGAUACAGAGGUUGCCAGCAAUCAGGAGGUGAUCCAGAAGACUCGUGGGAAUCUAUUUGAAGCUGCAGUCAUUGAAGACAGUCCAGCAGAUGUUGGAGUUUUAAAGGAUACAGUUCUUCAGGACCUAUAGCAGUUUACAGUCUGCAAAACCAUGUUGCUGGGACUGAUAUAUGGACUGAACUUGAGCAACCCUCCUGAAUUCAGGUACACAUUUGGAAUACUGAAGAAGUUAUUUCUGGAGCCAGUUCCUGUUCCUGGAAUAAGGUUUGAUUGGUUGCCCAUGAA
Molecule: long non-coding RNA, 519 nt
Organism: Carassius auratus (goldfish)
Lineage: Eukaryota; Metazoa; Chordata; Actinopteri; Cypriniformes; Cyprinidae
Exons: 3
Source: RefSeq, a predicted model, not a curated record